GACUGAGGCGCGCUCUGAGUGUGUUUUGUGUGGAGAGUGAAGCGUGAACACAGUGACAGUGACGGUUAAUGUGUUUGAUUAGGAGGACAUUAGAGCAAAGACACAUUUUAGGAUCAAACGUUGAUGCCUAGUGUACCUGUGGACCUUUGCCCUAGGAGUGGCGACCCUCCUGUCCAGGGACGCUUGGCCAGGACCGGCGGCGUCCGGGUGCCGAGGUGGUGACUUGGGGAGUGCACUGGAGAAAAAACAUCUGAGAGGUGUGAUCCACCGGUGGUGAUAUGUUGAUAUUUUGAGCAGGAGGAUAAGAGAGACUGGAGGAGGAGACUCUAGCUUCACAUAAGUAUGAACUGCAGACUUAACACUGUGGUUGCUGAUUUUGAGUUACUGAUGUUUGCAUUAAGAAAACUGUGCUAUAUUAGCUGUGUUUUGAUUAAGGUAUCAUGUUAUAUUAUUGGGAAUGCCAAAUGCUACAGUGGAGAAGACUUUUUGAUACCACUCAUGACAGGAAUAUGUUAUUAUUAACCACAGCAGGCCACUGUAAAAAAGUCAAUUAAAUUUUAUAGAGGAAAAUCGCCAAAACCUUAACAAUACCUAUGAAUGACUUGCCACAUUCAGAAUAGAGAUAUGCAAUAAUAAACAUUGGUCCACGUGAUUUAGGUUCUCACUUGAAAUAGUAAGUUAUUAAAUGUAGAAUAUAAUCGACAGGGACAUUUGAUAGGAUGUGGUACUGCAAAAGAACAAGAGCAAAGUAAAUAAAGAAAAUAUUGUGUUUAGUUUGGAUAUUUUCAAAUUAAAAUGUACCAUUACACUCAGAGGAUCAAUAUGAAAUAAAACAUAUGCAAAAUUUGUAGGAAGUACAUGACUGAUAACUGUUCUGUCCUGAGCGUUUGUUUCUAGAGCACCCACUUGACCACACCAACAGUUUCUCGCCACCGAGGAGGGGUACUUGCAAAAAGAAUAAAAUAAAAAUCUGAGUUUAACAAAACAUUUUAAAUGUAAAUAUCAAGCUUACCUUUCUUUUUCCAUGAAAUGUGCUUGUGGGCACGCCAGCCAUUUUGAAAAGGUGGGCAAAACAAUUGGCAAGGCCACACCCCCACACAUGUGACAUAAUUUUAAAGGUACUGUUGUCCCCUCUAAGAAACAUCAGGACUUAGAGGAGUGGCAAGUAGAGUAUGAGAGCUACAAGCAAAAAACUAAAUGUGUACUACAGUGCGCAAAAAUGAAUUACUGGGUCAUCAGGGGGUCUUGAGGGACAUUUAUAAAACAAAAAAUCCCACAAACCUUAAAAGUGCACUUGAAAAGCUCACACAAGAAGGUUAACCUAGCUUACCUAGAAGACCUCAUCAGGGGGAGCACGCUCCCCCUCGUUGAAGAGCUCACCCACUUAACUCGCAUCCCAAGAAAAUAGCUAACCCCAGAUAAGGCAGCGUGAUGUAUCCCGAGAUAACAGGACUGGGACAUCUAAAUAAAGGUGUGAAACAAUCGCCUUCAAAAGGUUAUCAAUUAACUUUAACCAAAAUUAGGAACACUCGGUGCGGCAAGAGUUAAUAGUUAUUAGUCUCAACACCCAAGGAUAAUUAGAAGAGCAUGACUGAUAUGAUGGAACGGAGAUUUUGUUACACUUAACUUUUGCAAAACACAAAUAGAACUAAAUUGAAACUAAGGAUUUUCAGAAAAUAAAAACUAGACUAAACUAGCAAAGAAUUGGUAAAAACUAAUUACAACUGGCAAAAAAUUGAAAAUCUGGAGUCGAAACUAAAUAAAAAAUAAAACCUAAUGAAAAUGGCGAAACGUUUAAAACUCUGGUGCAGAGAUUGGCAAAUCUGACCAGGAACGUUAUAAAAUGGAUUGUCAGAACAGUCAGCGUUAAAGCCACAUUUGACAGUCCAUACUAGGAUGGCAUUGGACAUCUUGGGGGUGGAAAGGGGUUGGUGUGACCAAGGUGUGGUUUGGCUUGUCGUAUGUAUAUUUGAGAUCAUAUGGCUCUGGAUGGACCAGUUACCAGGGCAUGGAAGGAGGACAGACUCAUUAAAGGAGGAGAAGGAACUUGCUGGGAUUGGAGAUCCUCUGGGUGAGUGGUUGAUUAAAAGCAUGCAUAAAAUAGAAGUUAUCUGUUGUUAUUGAUUGGUAAUAGAUUGAUAAUUGGCCACAUUUACAGCUGUAUUGACUUGUUGUGGACGUAGUCGACUUCAGGUUUAAACACUCUAAUUAACAGGGUGAAAAUAGUGACAUUAAAGGAAGAGUAUGCAGCACCACCCUGUC
Molecule: long non-coding RNA, 2262 nt
Organism: Astatotilapia calliptera (eastern happy)
Lineage: Eukaryota; Metazoa; Chordata; Actinopteri; Cichliformes; Cichlidae
Source: Ensembl